UUCAUGCACACGACAGUGAAAGCCGGAGGCAGACUCCUGUAGAUUUGAGGGUGUCAGUAUCAUUCAAAAUUCCCUGACGUUUCUUUUACUCCAAACCCUGUGCAUAUUCGGAAAGACCUUCAAGUCAUCUUGGUCCUUCUUCCUGUCAAGGAGAGUGAACCUGAAUCUCAGAAGAAUAAAAUGUUUGGUGGAAGGGUAUGGUUGGCAUGUGCCAGCCAUCAGUAGAAACCUAUUUUAAGGACUGAUCCCUAAUCCCUGGUGGUCCACACACCUCUAGGUCAGACCGGACUUCUGCUGCUAGUGCACAUUGGAGCUGCUGGUGCUCAGCAAUUAUUCGACUUCUGUGAUGCUGGUGCUGAGAUCGGCAAACUCUAUUUCUGAGCAUUUCCUGCGGGAUAUCUUGAUGACCAUGCUGGCAGGCAAGGACAGUCGCUGUUUAAUUUCCAGCUCCUUUCAGUACCCCUGGACGAGCUGUUCUCCUGCUCUGAAGUUCAAGCUUUAGUCAGAUGAUUCUUCCUCUUUCUGGGCUCUCACUGCUACCCAAAUGUGAACUUCCUAUGCCCGGCAUCUCUCUGGCAGCCUCGCCAUUUCCCUCCUGUUCUCUCACUCUUGCUGGCGGUAGCGUCUUCCGGAAGUUACUCACACAUGCCUUUCUCGGCCUUUUGUCUGGACCACCUUCUGAUAACUGCACAGUAUGUUCUUUGCAUCAAGAGCCUUUCAUUUGAAACAACCAGCACAGUGUCUCAUCUCUGAACUCAACUUUAAGCAGAACUUAAAAACUUCCCUAGUUCUUACCGCUGUUUACCUUAUGAAUUGCUGCACAGCCACAAGAUAAGUAAUAUCUGAAAAAUCAGAUGAGGCAGAAACAUUCAUCGAGAGGUCCUUUGCUCAGGAUCUGCCCAGGUUCUGGAACAUGGUGACACGUAGCCAGGACCAGCAGGAGUCUGAAGGCUUCCACGGAGGACAGAUAAUGUCACCAUCUUGAACUGAGGACCAUUGUCAUCGGAGGCUUUUGAGGAGAGCAGUGAUACCUAUAGUUUUGAUUUGGGAACUGUCAUCAUAGCCACAGUAUAGAGAAUGACCUGGACAAAAGGUUGAGUGGACAUUGAUUGCUAUUAGAAACCACUUCUCUUAGAGACUUCAACAUGAAAACAUGGGUCAACUAUGCCUGGGAAGAGAUCUGGAUCGUGUGAGAAGCUUUAAUAAAGACUCUAAGAAGUCCCCAGUUAGGUGGUGUACUGUUAACAAGAGCGAAGUUUCGGCUGAUCCCUCAGUUACGCUUAGCAUGCUUAGCAAAUUCAACUGAAUGACGUGAACGAAGUAGUUGUGAGCCUAUGCUAUGAAAGCAGGGUCUCCAUCUACAGCAGUAGAAGGUACUGGACAAAGGCACCAUGACGACACAAUUCUUCGCAGACUUUAAAAGAACAAUACUUAACUUCAUAUGGAAAAACAAAAGCCAAGGAUGACUAAAACAAUCCUGUUUAAUAAAGGAACUUCUGGAGGUAUCACCAACAUCCCUGCCUUCAAGUUCUACUAUACAGCUAAUGUAAUGAAACAGUUUGGUCUCGGCAUAAAAACAGACAAGUGGAUCAAUGGAAUUGAAUUGAAGACCCUGACAUAAAUCCACACACUGAUAAACACCUGAUUUCUGACA
This is a non-coding RNA of Myodes glareolus (Bank vole), 1654 nucleotides long. The record is from RefSeq and is a predicted model, not a curated record. NCBI's taxonomy places the organism in Eukaryota, Metazoa, Chordata, Mammalia, Rodentia, Cricetidae.